AUUGAACGCUGGCGGCAUGCCUUACACAUGCAAGUCGAACGGUAACGGGCCUUCGGGUGCCGACGAGUGGCGCACGGGUGAGUAAUACAUCGGAACGUGCCCGAUCGUGGGGGAUAACGAGGCGAAAGCUUUGCUAAUACCGCAUACGAUCUACGGAUGAAAGCAGGGGACCGCAAGGCCUUGCGCGGACGGAGCGGCCGAUGGCAGAUUAGGUAGUUGGCGGGAUAAAAGCUUACCAAGCCGACGAUCUGUAGCUGGUCUGAGAGGAUGAUCAGCCACACUGGGACUGAGACACGGCCCAGACUCCUACGGGAGGCAGCAGUGGGGAAUUUUGGACAAUGGGCGCAAGCCUGAUCCAGCCAUGCCGCGUGCAGGAUGAAGGCCUUCGGGUUGUAAACUGCUUUUGUACGGAACGAAAAGCCUUCUUUUAAUACAGGAGGGUCAUGACGGUACCGUAAGAAUAAGCACCGGCUAACUACGUG
This 482-nucleotide ribosomal RNA is filed under the name uncultured bacterium. Its description in RNAcentral is "partial 16S ribosomal RNA". It matches the Rfam family "Bacterial small subunit ribosomal RNA", at positions 30 to 507 of the family's 1533-position model. The record is from RNAcentral.